RNAcentral lists this ribosomal RNA (393 nucleotides) under uncultured bacterium. Its description in RNAcentral is "partial 16S ribosomal RNA". It matches the Rfam family "Bacterial small subunit ribosomal RNA", at positions 523 to 918 of the family's 1533-position model. The record is from RNAcentral.
AUACGGAGGAUCCGAGCGUUAUCCGGAUUUAUUGGGUUUAAAGGGUGCGUAGGCGGCCUUUUAAGUCAGCGGUGAAAGUCUGUGGCUCAACCAUAGAAUUGCCGUUGAAACUGGGGGGCUUGAGUAUGUUUGAGGCAGGCGGAAUGCGUGGUGGAGCGGUGAAAUGCUUAGAUAUCACGCAGAACCCCGAUUGGGAAGGCAGCCUGCCAAGCCAUGACUGACGCUGAUGCACGAAAGCGUGGGGAUCAAACAGGAUUAGAUACCCUGGUAGUCCACGCAGUAAACGAUGAUCACUAGCUGUUUGCGAUACACUGUAAGCGGCACAGCGAAAGCGUUAAGUGAUCCACCUGGGGAGUACGCCGGCAACGGUGAAACUUAAAGGAAUUGACGGGG